AAUGAACGCUGGCGGCAGGCCUAACACAUGCAAGUCGAACGGAUCCUUCGGGAUUAGUGGCGGACGGGUGAGUAACGCGUGGGAACAUACCCUUUGGUACGGAAUAGCCUCGGGAAACUGGGAGUAAUACCGUAUGUGGUCGAGAGACGAAAGAUUUAUCGCCAAAGGAUCGGCCCGCGUUGGAUUAGGUAGUUGGUGGGGUAAUGGCCUACCAAGCCGACGAUCCAUAGCUGGUUUGAGCGGAUGAUCAGCCACACUGGGACUGAGACACGGCCCAGACUCCUACGGGAGGAAGCAGUGGGGAAUCUUAGACAAUGGGGGAAGCCUUGAUCUAGCCAUGCCGCGUGAUCGAUGAAGGCCUUAGGGUUGUAAAGAUCUUUCAGGUGGGAAGAUAAUGACUGUACCACCAGAAGAAGCCCCGGCUAACUCCGUGCCAGCCGCCGCGGUAA
RNAcentral lists this ribosomal RNA (449 nucleotides) under uncultured bacterium. Its description in RNAcentral is "partial 16S ribosomal RNA". It matches the Rfam family "Bacterial small subunit ribosomal RNA", at positions 29 to 523 of the family's 1533-position model. The record is from RNAcentral.